Molecule: ribosomal RNA, 301 nt
Filed under: uncultured bacterium
Lineage: Bacteria
Description: partial 16S ribosomal RNA
Rfam family: Bacterial small subunit ribosomal RNA
Source: RNAcentral
CAGUCGCCGCGGGAAUACGGAGGGUGCAAGCGUUAAUCGGAAUUACUGGGCGUAAAGCGUGCGCAGGCGGUGCUGUAAGACUGAUGUGAAAUCCCCGGGCUCAACCUGGGAACUGCAUUGGUGACUGCAACGCUGGAGUGCGGCAGAGGGGGAUGGAAUUCCGCGUGUAGCAGUGAAAUGCGUAGAUAUGCGGAGGAACACCGAUGGCGAAGGCAAUCCCCUGGGCCUGCACUGACGCUCGUGCACGAAAGCGUGGGGAGCAAACAGGAUUAGAUACCCGAGUAGUCCCUGUCUCUUAUAA